Molecule: ribosomal RNA, 435 nt
Filed under: uncultured bacterium
Lineage: Bacteria
Description: partial 16S ribosomal RNA
Rfam family: Bacterial small subunit ribosomal RNA
Source: RNAcentral
AGCGAACGCUGGCGGCAGGCUUAACACAUGCAAGUCGAGCGGGCACUUUCGGGUGUCAGCGGCGGACGGGUGAGUAACGCGUGGGAACGUGCCCUCUGGUUCGGAAUAACUCAGGGAAACUUGAGCUAAUACCGGAUACGCCCUUUUGGGGAAAGGCUUGCUGCCGAAGGAUCGGCCCGCGUCUGAUUAGCUAGUUGGUGAGGUAACGGCUCACCAAGUCGACGAUCAGUAGCUGGUCUGAGAGGAUGAUCAGCCACACUGGGACUGAGACACGGCCCAGACUCCUACGAGAGGCAGCAGAAGGGAAUAUUGGACAAUGGGCGCAAGCCUGAUCCAGCCAUGCCGCGUGAGUGAUGAAGGCCUUAGGGUUGUAAAGCUCUUUUAUCCGGGACGAUAAUGACGGUACCGGAGGAAUAAGCCCCGGCUAACUUCGUG